GACGAACGCUGGCGGCGUGCUUAACACAUGCAAGUCGAGCGGUAAGGCCUUUCGGGGUACACGAGCGGCGAACGGGUGAGUAACACGUGGGUGAUCUGCCCUGCACUUCGGGAUAAGCCUGGGAAACUGGGUCUAAUACCGGAUAUGACCUCCUAUCGCAUGGUGGGUGGUGGAAAGAUUUAUCGGUGCAGGAUGGGCCCGCGGCCUAUCAGCUUGUUGGUGGGGUAAUGGCCUACCAAGGCGACGACGGGUAGCCGACCUGAGAGGGUGACCGGCCACACUGGGACUGAGACACGGCCCAGACUCCUACGGGAGGCAGCAGUGGGGAAUAUUGCACAAUGGGCGAAGGCCUGAUGCAGCGACGCCGCGUGAGGGAUGACGGCCUUCGGGUUGUAAACCUCUUUCAGCAGGGACGAAGCGCAAGUGACGGUACCUGCAGAAGAAGCACCGGCUAACUACGUG
RNAcentral lists this ribosomal RNA (462 nucleotides) under uncultured bacterium. Its description in RNAcentral is "partial 16S ribosomal RNA". It matches the Rfam family "Bacterial small subunit ribosomal RNA", at positions 28 to 507 of the family's 1533-position model. The record is from RNAcentral.